GGAUUAGGCAUGCAAGUCGAAUGGGUUCAGACCCAUGGCAGACGAGGUAGGAACACGUAGGUACGUACCCUAAAGUCAGGGAUAACCCGAUGAAAAUCGGAAUAAUACUUGAUGGUCCCUUCGGGGUAAAGUUUUAACGCUUUAGGAACGGCCUGCGGUCUAUCAGCUUGUUGGUAAGGUAACGGCUUACCAAGGCGACGACGGAUAGGGGAGGUGAGAGCCUGGCCCCCACCGAUGGAACUGCGACACGGUCCAUACUCCUACGGGAGGCUGCAGUCGAGAAUCUUCCGCAAUGGACGAAAGUCUGACGGAGCGACGCCGCGUGGUGGAUGAAGUCCUUAGGGACGUAAACACCUUUUAUGAGGGAGAAAGUAUAUUGAUGUUACCUCAUGAAUAAGGGGCUCCCAACUCUGUGCCAGCAGCCGCGGUAAUA
RNAcentral lists this ribosomal RNA (433 nucleotides) under uncultured bacterium. RNAcentral describes it as "bacterial SSU rRNA". It matches the Rfam family "Bacterial small subunit ribosomal RNA", at positions 46 to 525 of the family's 1533-position model. The record is from RNAcentral.